AACCCCUGUGACAUACCAAUUGUUGCCUCGGCGGAUCAGCCCGCUCCCGGUAAAACGGGACGGCCCGCCAGAGGACCCCUAAACUCUGUUUCUAUAUGUAACUUCUGAGUAAAACCAUAAAUAAAUCAAAACUUUCAACAACGGAUCUCUUGGUUCUGGCAUCGAUGAAGAACGCAGCAAAAUGCGAUAAGUAAUGUGAAUUGCAGAAUUCAGUGAAUCAUCGAAUCUUUGAACGCACAUUGCGCCCGCCAGUAUUCUGGCGGGCAUGCCUGUUCGAGCGUCAUUUCAACCCUCAAGCCCAGCUUGGUGUUGGGACUCGCGAGUCAAAUCGCGUUCCCCAAAUUGAUUGGCGGUCACGUCGAGCUUCCAUAGCGUAGUAGUAAAACCCUCGUUACUGGUAAUCGUCGCGGCCACGCCGUUAAACCCCAACUUCUGAAUGUUGACCUCGGAUCAGGUAGGAAUACCCGCUGAACUUAAGCAUAUCAAUAAGCGGAGGAAA
Molecule: ribosomal RNA, 499 nt
Filed under: Fusarium verticillioides
Lineage: Eukaryota; Fungi; Ascomycota; Sordariomycetes; Hypocreales; Nectriaceae
Description: eukaryotic LSU rRNA
Rfam family: 5.8S ribosomal RNA (bases 130-283)
Source: RNAcentral